RNAcentral lists this ribosomal RNA (275 nucleotides) under uncultured bacterium. RNAcentral's name for it is "partial 16S ribosomal RNA". It matches the Rfam family "Bacterial small subunit ribosomal RNA", at positions 338 to 605 of the family's 1533-position model. The record is from RNAcentral.
CCUACGGGCGGCUGCAGUAGGGAAUAUUGCGCAAUGGACGAAAGUCUGACGCAGCGACGCCGCGUGGGUGAUGAAGGUUUUCGGAUCGUAAAGCCCUGUCGGAGGGGACGAAAAACGGAAUGGCUAAUAUCCAUCCGCUUGACGGUACCCUCAAAGGAAGCACCGGCUAACUACGUGCCAGCAGCCGCGGUAAUACGUAGGGUGCGAGCGUUGUUCGGAAUCAUUGGGCGUAAAGCGCGUGUAGGCGGUUAGUUAAGUCAGAUGUGAAAUCCCUG